UGAACGCUGGCGGCGCGCUUAAUGCAUGCAAGUCGCGCGUGUCCGUGGCUUCGGCCACAUAUGGAAAAGCGGCAGACGGCUGAGUAACGCGUGAGUAACCUGCCCUCUGGUGGGGUAUAGCCACGAGAAAUCGUGAUUAAUCCCGCAUAAKAUCUCUUUACCUUGGUAUUGAGAUGAAAGCCUUCGGGCGCCGGAGGAGGGGCUCGCGUCCUAUCAGGUUGUUGGUGAGGUAAUGGCUCACCAAGCCUAUGACGGGUAGCUGGUCUGAGAGGACGACCAGCCAGAGGGGGACUGAGACMCGGCCCCCACUCCUACGGGAGGCAGCAGCAGGGAAUCUUGGGCAAUGGGCGAAAGCCUGACCCAGCGACGUCGCGUGGAGGAAGAAGGCUUUUGGGCUGUAAACUCCUUUUCCAAGGGAAGAGAAAGGACGGUACCUUGGGAAUAAGCUCCGGCUAACUACGUGCCAGCAGCCGCGGUAAUACGUAGGGAGCGAGCGUUACCCGGAAUUACUGGGCGUAAAGUGCGCGUAGGCGGCUUGGUAAGUCUCUUGUGAAAGCUCCUGGCUUAACUGGGAGAGGUCAAGGGAAACUAUCUAGCUAGAGGGCAGCAGAGGAAAGCGGAAUUCUCGGUGUAGCGGUGAAAUGCGUAGAUAUCGAGAGGAACACCAGUGGCGAAGGCGGCUUUCUGGGCUGUACCUGACGCUGAGGCGCGAGAGCGUGGGGAGCAAACAGGAUUAGAUACCCUGGUAGUCCACGCCCUAAACGAUGAAUGCUAGGUAUAGGGGGUAUCGACCCCUCCUGUGCCGCAGCUAACGCGAUAAGCAUUCCGCCUGGGGACUACNGCCGCAAGGCUAAAAC
This 857-nucleotide ribosomal RNA is filed under the name uncultured Chloroflexota bacterium. RNAcentral describes it as "SSU rRNA". It matches the Rfam family "Bacterial small subunit ribosomal RNA", at positions 30 to 900 of the family's 1533-position model. Lineage: Bacteria; Bacillati; Chloroflexota. The record is from RNAcentral.